RNAcentral lists this transfer RNA (20 nucleotides) under Lobatiriccardia sp. EX_MN001.07. RNAcentral describes it as "partial transfer RNA-Phe". The record is from RNAcentral. Lineage: Eukaryota; Viridiplantae; Streptophyta; Jungermanniopsida; Metzgeriales; Aneuraceae.
CCGGGAUAGCUCANUCGGUA